GAUGAACGCUGGCGGCGUGCCUAAUACAUGCAAGUAGAACGCUGAAGCUUGGUGCUUGCACCGAGCGGAUGAGUUGCGAACGGGUGAGUAACGCGUAGGUAACCUGCCUGGUAGCGGGGGAUAACUAUUGGAAACGAUAGCUAAUACCGCAUGACAACAGUUAUUGCAUGAUAACUGUUUAAAAGGGGCAAUUGCUCCACUACCAGAUGGACCUGCGUUGUAUUAGCUAGUUGGUGAGGUAACGGCUCACCAAGGCGACGAUACAUAGCCGACCUGAGAGGGUGAUCGGCCACACUGGGACUGAGACACGGCCCAGACUCCUACAGGAGGCAGCAGUAGGGAAUCUUCGGCAAUGGACGGAAGUCUGACCGAGCAACGCCGCGUGAGUGAAGAAGGUUUUCGGAUCGUAAAGCUCUGUUGUAAGAGAAGAACGAGUGUGAGAGUGGAAAGUUCACACUGUGACGGUAUCUUACCAGAAAGGGACGGCUAACUACGUG
RNAcentral lists this ribosomal RNA (497 nucleotides) under uncultured bacterium. Its description in RNAcentral is "partial 16S ribosomal RNA". It matches the Rfam family "Bacterial small subunit ribosomal RNA", at positions 28 to 507 of the family's 1533-position model. The record is from RNAcentral.